Molecule: ribosomal RNA, 366 nt
Filed under: Triticum aestivum (bread wheat)
Lineage: Eukaryota; Viridiplantae; Streptophyta; Magnoliopsida; Poales; Poaceae
Description: partial small subunit ribosomal RNA
Source: RNAcentral
AUGAAAUCAUCACAAACAAGCCCUCAGCUGGAAAAACUGAAAGCGUCUUCUCAGAAAAUACGUUUUCUAGAAUGGAAAACGCAUGUUGGCCCCAAGAAGACCAGAGUACGCUUUCGUAAGGGGAAAGCGCAGACGGGCAAAUCGCGCGUCCACUUAUCCACGCCAGCUUCGCCGCAUCAACCCCCUGCGCGGCUGACGGGUGGGGUCGCGGGGCCCACUGCUGAGCUGGCGUCGGUGGCGUCAUCUCCCUCCUCUUGCCCAUGCCUGCCGCGGCAGAGUCGGACCCGACGAGGCCUGCCGGAGCUACGGGGCAUCUCUGGCGGCGCUCCGCCUAUUGAAAUGCUCAGCGGAUUGAGCCGCAUCUAG